CGAACGCUGGCGGUAUGCCUAAUACAUGCAAGUCGAACGAGAAAGUUCCGCAAGGAGCGAGUAGAGUGGCGCACGGGUGAGUAACACGUGGGUGACCUUCCCUUUAGACUGGGAUAACCCUGAGAAAUCGGGGCUAAUACCGGUUACGAACAAUAAAACUGAAAGUAGUUGUUGAAAAGAGUGCCUCUGCUUGCAAGCACUCGCUAAAGGAUGGGCCUGCGGGGUAUUAGCUAGUUGGUAGGGUAAUGGCUUACCAAGGCGACGAUACCUAGCUGAUCUGAGAGGAUGAUCAGCCACACUGGAACUGAGACACGGUCCAGACUCCUACGGGAGGCAGCAGUAGGGAAUAUUGCGCAAUGGGCGAAAGCCUGACGCAGCAAUACCGCGUGAGUGAGGAAGGCCUUCGGGUUGUAAAACUCUGUCGGGGUGGAAAAACGGCUAAUGUUCUAACAGGGCGUUAGAUUGAUGGUACACCCAAAGGAAGCACCGGCUAACUUCGUGCCAGCAGCCGCGGUAAUACGAAGGGUGCAAGCGUUGUUCGGAUUUAUUGGGCGUAAAGCGCGCGCAGGCGGAUUGUUAAGCAAGAUGUGAAAUCUCGGAGCUCAACUUCGAAAGUGCGUCUUGAACUGGCGAUCUAGAAUAACGUAGAGGGAAGGGGAAUUUCUCAUGUAGGGGUAAAAUCCGUAGAGAUGAGAAGGAACACCGGAGGCGAAAGCGCCUUCCUGGCCGUUUAUUGACGCUGAGGCGCGAAAGCGUGGGGCAAACAGGAUUAGAUACCCUGGUAGUCCACGCCGUAAACUAUGAGCACUAGAUAUUGGGUCGCUGACAGAUUCAGUGUCGCAGCUAACGCGUUAAGUGCUCCGCCUGGGAAGUACGGUCGCAAGACUAAAACUCAAU
This 897-nucleotide ribosomal RNA is filed under the name uncultured bacterium. RNAcentral's name for it is "bacterial SSU rRNA". It matches the Rfam family "Bacterial small subunit ribosomal RNA", at positions 30 to 905 of the family's 1533-position model. The record is from RNAcentral.